Tachysurus fulvidraco (yellow catfish) is the source of this 3008-nucleotide long non-coding RNA. RefSeq lists it as uncharacterized. The record is from RefSeq and is a predicted model, not a curated record. The transcript is spliced from 9 exons. Lineage: Eukaryota; Metazoa; Chordata; Actinopteri; Siluriformes; Bagridae.
AUUUUUGUGUUGGAAUAGAUUGGCCUAUCCCCUUGUGUCAUCGAUGUGCUACUUCAAAGAUGUGAGGACAAGAACAUACACCUGCGAGUAGUCUAUGACAUUGCCUGUGUUGUUGCCUCACAUUUCCAGAGAUGCAAUGUGUAGGACAAUCCAGUGGAAACCGCUUAUCUCAAAUCUGUCUGGGUCAAACUAAUCACUAUAAGCAGAGGAGUGUUAUAACCAAUUUAGUUUCCUUUGUUUAUUUUUAUGCAGAUUACCAUCUUUUUUUUUAUAAUAAUUACAUGAAUAUAAAGUAAUAAAAUGAACAGCUUUGCUAUUUGUAUUAAUUUAAGAUAAAACAACAUAAGCUGACCCUUAAGGUCCUCUCCUGCUCCGGGCCUUGUCUGAAUGGUCAGGGUGAAGGCAUUACACUCCACUUACAUUACAUACAGUAUACCUACCUGCUGCUGUGAGAGUGCGGGGAUUUUAAUUAUGCACCAUUAAAGUCCCAUAACACCAGCAGCGCAGGAACAGGAGGGGAAAAUAACUCACUAGACCACAGCAGUGUGAGUAAAGGAAAACAUCACAUGACGCGCAACUGCAGGCAUAUGCAUACACACCAAACAUACCCAAUAUGAACAUCAUAAGCGGACUUCUUGAUUACUAUAAACAACUUAUUUACACAGCAUUUCUAUAGGAAUGAUUCUGCCCCAAGAUUUUUGAUUGACACUAACCGUGAUCACUAUAAGCAGUAAGAUCAUGCUCAAUGUCAGUGUACAGUAUGCGAUAUUUUAUAUCUUUGCUUUAAUCAUAGAUCAAGUACAGUACCAGACGGCUCGAUGGGUUUGGGCUCACAGACGGGGAAGGAAUGGAAAGGCUGUGGUCUUUCCUCCAGAGUCACAAAGGAGAUGACUCCAUCUCAUCGCCUUGACCUAUGCCCUUUUGCAUUAUGGACGGAGGAAAUCAACUGACCUAGAGUUGCAGCUUCUGCAAAGACUAGACAAAGCAGAGAAAAUAUCGAUUCUAGCUCAAGAAGAUAUCUGCUUUGUCAUCUGUCAUCAGAGGGGCACCAGUGUUGGUUUCUGAAGGAGACAUGGAGAGAUGAAAAAGGGAGAUGGAGCAAGCCCAACAGAAACCAAUAAGCAGAAGACUUGAUGCCCGAUGACGCCUGAGAUAGGCACAGGCUCCCCGUGACCCGAGGUAGUUCGGAUAAGCGGUAGAAAAUGAGUGAAUGAGAGUGAAAGGCAGAAGAAUCAGAAGAAUAUUGGUUCAAGCUGUAUGUGACUAUCAAAAGUACAGACAUAUAUAACAUUAUACUACACAAGACAGGACAAUACAGACUGUACACAGGAGGAAAUAAAUGGGUGAAUCUUCAUCACAAACAGAAGGCAGAAGGGGGAACAUGGAAGAACCAGAAUUAUUACUGUGUGAUGUACCAUGAAAGGUUUAGCUCCGUUUCACGUGGAAGACCAGUUCUCUCCAGCAUUAGAAAGCUAAACCUAUAUUAACACGGGUCCUGCUUCUUGCACACUGUCUCUCCACACUGGUUCAUGGAGCACGACAGGCACUGGCCUGCUCUCGCCAAGGUGUUGAUGAGUGUGUACCAGUUGGAGAUACUAGAUGAGGACUCCAUUGUGCGCUGGUUCUCUCAGGGAGUUCAGACCAAGAGGAGCAGAACCCUGUGCAAGAACCCCGGGCUGCUGAAGUUCAUCUAGUGGUUAGAGGAGGCUGAGGAGUCUUUAGAGGGAGAUAACUGAACACCAGUCAGAACACCAGUGACCCAGUGCCACUGGAAGUCAUGCAGGCCUAUGCCAUUACACUGCCUCCACUAUGUUUUACAGAUGAUGUUGUAAGCUUUGGAUCAUGAAGGCUGUUCCAAGCCUUCUCCAUACUUUUCUCUUCCCGUCAUUCUGGUAAAGGUUGAUCUUAGUUUCAUCCGUCCAAAGAAUGCUUUUCCAGAACUGGUUGGGGCUUUUUAGAUGUUUUUUUUGACAAAGUCUAAUCUGGCCUUUCUAUUCUUUAUGCUUAUGAAUGGUUUGCAAUCAUCUACUACUGUUGUCUUCCGUGGACAAAAGCUGAGAGACUUUCAGCCCACUAUACCUAUACAACUAUAGCUUGAAUAAGUUUUUGAAAAUACCUAAAAAAAAAACUAAAAUUGUGCCUGUGUCUAAAUAUAUAUGGACCUAACUGUAUAUGAAAAUUGUAAUCUAGUUUGAAAGAUUAUCAGUCAAGAACUAAAUGUAUUGUUGCAAUUUAGAAAUUUGGCCAACAACUUAUAAGAUCAAAUAGUAUUCAUAACAGUAAGUUUUAGUUAUGUCAUUUUUUGCUUUUAUAUUAAUUUUCUUGUUGUUGUUGUUGUUGAUAGUAGUAGAAGAAGCAAUAUUCUAAAAUGUGCAAAUGUAGCACUGGGUAAAAUAAUAAUAAUAAUAAUAAUAAUAGUAACCUGCAACUAUUUGUAACCAACCAAGGUUUUUUUUAAAAUUACAAUUUACUAUGAUUACCACCACUACAACAACUACUACUACUAAUAAUAAUAACAAUAAUAAAAGCAGCAGCAACAGUAAAACUACUACUACUUAAAGGAGUAAAUUGUAGGAGCAAAUAGAAGCAAAAUUGCCAAUUAAACAUUCAUCGUAAUUCUAGAGCUCUGUACCUGAGGUCAUAAUUAGCUCAUAAUAAUAUCAUCACUAGUGAUUUUCGCUCUCUUUCUGUUUAAACACAAACACAAAACAAAUAAUAAAGACUUUUUUCUUUAACUUAUUUUGUCCAUGCUAUUAUAUUUUAAUUUGUAAUUACAAGUUAGAUAAUCAUUCAGCCUUCUGCUUCUUUACUCAGCUCCAGCUCCAGUUGGAUUCCUGCUUCAUUAAAUAUUCAGAUACACUAAGAAGAGAUGACAACUACAUGUGCUCGUUGAGGACAACAACCUCAUUAUCAAUACAACAUAGUCAGACUGUAUAUUUAUAAUCACACCUGCCAGUGUCACCCACAUGAGGAUGAUGUCCCCCCUUAAGUCUGGUUCUUCUCAAGGU